GUUAUGUCAGGGCCUUGCACAGGGUUCCCAAGCCUGAAAGACUUAAACAAAGUCUUUAAGGGGGGAGUCCCCUGCUCUGGACAGUGGGGAGCAGAGGGCUUCCCCACAGCAGGAGGAGUAGACUCAGAAUAGGGUCUUAGAAUGCCUGGGACACAGGCUCACUGAGUCCUAGUAACCCCUAAAAUAUACAGUCAGGUUUCUAAGCCUAGAGGGAUGUUUACAAUUUAAAAAAAAAAUUCUGUAUUAUUUUAUUUUUACAGUUCUGGGCAUUGAACCAGCUCACGACUCUACCAGUGAACUACAUCCCCAGCUCUUUUUAUUUUCUAUUUUGAGAUGCCCACACAGACCUCGAAUUUAUGAUCCUCCUGGCUCAGCCUCUGGGAUUAUGGGCCCAAACCACCACGCCCUGUUGCACUGUUUGCAUUUUGAUUCAAACUCAUUUACAAGCCAAAGCGGGGCAGUGGAGACAACCCUGGCCUCUCUGCCUCUCUCAGGGCAGAGGCUGCCCAGCCAUGUGCACUACCCACACUGACACAAUAAACCCCAGAGGCCUCGUGGCCACGUCAACUUUGUUCCUUUAGCCUUCAAAAGUGUCACUCCCUCCAGAGAGUCUCUUCUGGUCUCCCUGACUAGGAGAAGUCAUCCCCUCUUCAUCCGCCAAGUUCUCAAGGCACACUGGCCGCACACACUGCAGUCUGUUCUCAUGUGUAGUUGGUUUCUCCACCCAGCCUCAUGCCCCCAGUGCUU
RNAcentral lists this long non-coding RNA (747 nucleotides) under Marmota monax (woodchuck). The record is from RNAcentral. Lineage: Eukaryota; Metazoa; Chordata; Mammalia; Rodentia; Sciuridae.